RNAcentral lists this long non-coding RNA (340 nucleotides) under Prunus persica (peach). Its description in RNAcentral is "long non-coding RNA (PPER_LNC003970)". The record is from RNAcentral. Lineage: Eukaryota; Viridiplantae; Streptophyta; Magnoliopsida; Rosales; Rosaceae.
UGGGUAUUGAAUAAUAAAUAAAAUACCAUUACUUUAAUUAGUAAUGGCAUUACAUAAUUGCACAUAUUGAAUUAAAGAAGUAGGGAAAAAAACAAAAGUAAAGAAACUAAUUUCAUGUUUUUGAAAUUCUUUUAUAAAAAGAAAAUCUUAUGCAUUUUAAAAUAAUCUUUUAAAAACAGUAUAGCCGAGCGGCUAUACUAUUUAUACAUUAAAAAAGGAUGCGCCAAUGCAUAGGUGCCAAGUGUCAAACAAGUACAGCCGAACGGCUAUACUAUUUCUUUAUUUUUUUAAAAACAGAAAAGCCGAGUAUAGCCGCGCGGCUAUACUAUUUGUCCCCCCC